RNAcentral lists this long non-coding RNA (634 nucleotides) under Canis lupus familiaris (dog). Its description in RNAcentral is "lncRNA (ENSCAFG00040005880.1)". Lineage: Eukaryota; Metazoa; Chordata; Mammalia; Carnivora; Canidae. The record is from RNAcentral.
AUGUUUCCUCCUCCACCUGCAAAUCUGAUCAUAGAAGGGGUCAUCCUUGUCUUAAAUGAAGGCCCACAGAGCCUGAGCUGGGAGCCGCGUUGGAGAGACCACAUAGAGAAGACAGCCCGGGACAACCCCGGAGAAGAGCCCCAGCCUGCUUGUCACUCCCUUCAAGAACAAGACCAGGCAAUGGGCCACCCUGCAAAUUUCAGCCUGGCCAAGUCCCCGGAUGACUACAUGCAUACCUGUCUGACCUCACGUGACCAGAACCACCCAGCUGAGCCCAGUCAAGUCUCAGAAUCAACCCUCUACGAAACUGGUUUGGGGAGGGGGUUCGUCUGUGAGUUUAACCCAUGUGGGGGAGCUCAAGUAGGACUCGCCGCAGAUCCUCCUCAGCUGGAAGAUUCCAGUUCUGUCCCCGGCUGUGCCCCCCUCCACCCGGGGGCUCCCCUGACCCCCAAGGAAAAGCAGAAGGACGAAGUCCAGCCCUGCGGCAGCGUGAGGGUCACCCCCUGCAGGCCAGACGCUCUUUGCCUCGCCCCGGGUCCCCUGCCAGGCAGCCACUGCGUCUUCGAAGCUUGAGCCUGUGUUAACUGCUCUUAAAAAAAAAAUAUGUUUUAAAGCAAUAAAAUCUGUACAUUAA